UUAAGCGACUAAGCGUACACGGUGGAUGCCUAGGCAGUCAGAGGCGAUGAAGGGCGUGCUAAUCUGCGAAAAGCGUCGGUAAGGUGAUAUGAACCGUUAUAACCGACGAUACCCGAAUGGGGAAACCCAGUGCAAUUCGUUGCACUAUUGCAUGGUGAAUACAUAGCCAUGCAAGGCGAACCGGGGGAACUGAAACAUCUAAGUACCCCGAGGAAAAGAAAUCAACCGAGAUUCCCCCAGUAGCGGCGAGCGAACGGGGAGGAGCCCAGAACCUGAAUCAGCGUAUGUGUUAGUGGAAGCGUCUGGAAAGUCGCACGGUACAGGGUGAUAGUCCCGUACACAAAAAUGCAUAUGUUGUGAGUUCGAUGAGUAGGGCGGGACACGUGACAUCCUGUCUGAAUAUGGGGGGACCAUCCUCCAAGGCUAAAUACUCCUGACUGACCGAUAGUGAACCAGUACCGUGAGGGAAAGGCGAAAAGAACCCCGGCGAGGGGAGUGAAACAGAACCUGAAACCGUGUACGUACAAGCAGUGGGAGCACCUUCGUGGUGUGACUGCGUACCUUUUGUAUAAUGGGUCAGCGACUUAUAUUUUGUAGCAAGGUUAACCGAAUAGGGGAGCCGUAGGGAAACCGAGUCUUAACUGGGCGAAUAGUUGCAAGGUAUAGACCCGAAACCCGGUGAUCUAGCCAUGGGCAGGUUGAAGGUUGGGUAACACUAACUGGAGGACCGAACCGACUAAUGUUGAAAAAUUAGCGGAUGACUUGUGGCUGGGGGUGAAAGGCCAAUCAAACCGGGAGAUAGCUGGUUCUCCCCGAAAGCUAUUUAGGUAGCGCCUCGUGAACUCAUCUUCGGGGGUAGAGCACUGUUUCGGCUAGGGGGUCAUCCCGACUUACCAAACCGAUGCAAACUCCGAAUACCGAAGAAUGUUAUCACGGGAGACACACGGCGGGUGCUAACGUCCGUCGUGAAGAGGGAAACAACCCAGACCGCCAGCUAAGGUCCCAAAGUCAUGGUUAAGUGGGAAACGAUGUGGGAAGGCACAGACAGCCAGGAUGUUGGCUUAGAAGCAGCCAUCAUUUAAAGAAAGCGUAAUAGCUCACUGGUCGAGUCGGCCUGCGCGGAAGAUGUAACGGGGCUAAACCAUGCACCGAAGCUGCGGCAGCGAACGUAUCACUUAAAACGCUUAACGUGACGGCAAAGCCGGCAUGUUCAAGCCACACUAAACGUUGAGUUGGCCGAUGUGCUGACAAACGAACAGGCGUUUUAAGGAUACGUUCGUUGGGUAGGGGAGCGUUCUGUAAGCCGUUGAAGGUGGUCUGUGAGGGCUGCUGGAGGUAUCAGAAGUGCGAAUGCUGACAUAAGUAACGAUAAUGCGGGUGAAAAACCCGCACGCCGGAAGACCAAGGGUUCCUGUCCAACGUUAAUCGGGGCAGGGUGAGUCGACCCCUAAGGCGAGGCUGAAAAGCGUAGUCGAUGGGAAACAGGUUAAUAUUCCUGUACUUGGUGUUACUGCGAAGGGGGGACGGAGAAGGCUAGGCUAGCCGGGCGACGGUUGUCCCGGUUUAAGCAUGUAGGCGGAGUGACCAGGUAAAUCCGGUUGCUUAUCAACGCUGAGGUGUGAUGACGAGUCACUACGGUGAUGAAGUAGUUGAUGCCAUGCUUCCAGGAAAAGCCUCUAAGCAUCAGGUAACAUGAAAUCGUACCCCAAACCGACACAGGUGGUCAGGUAGAGAAUACUCAGGCGCUUGAGAGAACUCGGGUGAAGGAACUAGGCAAAAUGGUGCCGUAACUUCGGGAGAAGGCACGCUGGCAUUAGGUAAAGGGACUUGCUCCCGGCGCCGAAGCCAGUCGCAGAUACCAGCUGGCUGCAACUGUUUAAUAAAAACACAGCACUGUGCAAACACGAAAGUGGACGUAUACGGUGUGACGCCUGCCCGGUGCUGGAAGGUUAAUUGAUGGGGUCAGCCGCAAGGCGAAGCUCUUGAUCGAAGCCCCAGUAAACGGCGGCCGUAACUAUAACGGUCCUAAGGUAGCGAAAUUCCUUGUCGGGUAAGUUCCGACCUGCACGAAUGGCGUAAUGAUGGCCAGGCUGUCUCCACCCGAGACUCAGUGAAAUUGAACUCGCUGUGAAGAUGCAGUGUACCCGCGGCAAGACGGAAAGACCCCGUGAACCUUUACUAUAGCUUGACACUGAACAUUGAGCCUUGAUGUGUAGGAUAGGUGGGAGGCAUAGAAGUGUGGACGCCAGUCUGCAUGGAGCCAACCUUGAAAUACCACCCUUUAAUGUUUGAUGUUCUAACUCGGCCCCGUAAUCCGGGGUGAGGACAGUGUCUGGUGGGUAGUUUGACUGGGGCGGUCUCCUCCCAAAGAGUAACGGAGGAGCACGAAGGUUAGCUAAUCACGGUCGGACAUCGUGAGGUUAGUGCAAAGGCAUAAGCUAGCUUGACUGCGAGAGUGACGGCUCGAGCAGGUACGAAAGUAGGUCUUAGUGAUCCGGUGGUUCUGAAUGGAAGGGCCAUCGCUCAACGGAUAAAAGGUACUCCGGGGAUAACAGGCUGAUACCGCCCAAGAGUUCAUAUCGACGGCGGUGUUUGGCACCUCGAUGUCGGCUCAUCACAUCCUGGGGCUGAAGUAGGUCCCAAGGGUAUGGCUGUUCGCCAUUUAAAGUGGUACGCGAGCUGGGUUUAGAACGUCGUGAGACAGUUCGGUCCCUAUCUGCCGUGGGCGUUGGAAGAUUGAGAGGGGCUGCUCCUAGUACGAGAGGACCGGAGUGGACGAAUCACUGGUGUUCGGGUUGUCAUGCCAAUGGCAUUGCCCGGUAGCUAAAUUCGGAAGAGAUAACCGCUGAAAGCAUCUAAGCGGGAAACUUGCCUCGAGAUGAGUCUUCCCUGGGGCUUUAAGCCCCCUGAAGGAACGUUAAAGACGAUGACGUUGAUAGGCUGGGUGUGUAAGUGCAGCGAUGCAUUGAGCUAACCAGUACUAAUGAACCGUGAGGCUUAACCUU
This 3005-nucleotide ribosomal RNA is filed under the name Yersinia enterocolitica subsp. palearctica. RNAcentral describes it as "23S ribosomal RNA". It matches the Rfam family "Bacterial large subunit ribosomal RNA". Lineage: Bacteria; Pseudomonadati; Pseudomonadota; Gammaproteobacteria; Enterobacterales; Yersiniaceae. The record is from RNAcentral.